AGAAUCAACGCUGGCGGCGUGCCUAACACAUGCAAGUCGAACGAGAAAGGGGUAGCAAUACCCUGAGUAAAGUGGCGCACAGGUGAGUAACACGUGACUAACCUACCCUGGAGUGGGGGAUAACUGAGGGAACCUUAGCUAAUACCGCAUAAUACCUACGGGUCAAAGGAGCAAUUCGCUUUGGGAGGGGGUCGCGGCCGAUUAGUUAGUUGGCGGGGUAAUGGCCCACCAAGACGAUGAUCGGUAUCCGGCCUGAGAGGGCGCACGGACACACUGGAACUGAAACACGGUCCAGACUCCUACGGGAGGCAGCAGUGGGGAAUUUUGCGCAAUGGGGGAACCCUGACGCAGCAACGCCGCGUGGAGGAUGAAGUACUUCGGUACGUAAACUCCUUUCGAUCGGGACGAUUAUGACGGUACCGAGAGAAGAAGCCCCGGCUAACUUCGCGCCAGCAGCCGC
RNAcentral lists this ribosomal RNA (460 nucleotides) under uncultured bacterium. RNAcentral describes it as "SSU rRNA". It matches the Rfam family "Bacterial small subunit ribosomal RNA", at positions 26 to 518 of the family's 1533-position model. The record is from RNAcentral.